This 600-nucleotide ribosomal RNA is filed under the name uncultured bacterium. Its description in RNAcentral is "bacterial SSU rRNA". It matches the Rfam family "Bacterial small subunit ribosomal RNA", at positions 83 to 693 of the family's 1533-position model. The record is from RNAcentral.
UUUUGCCGGCGAGCGGCGGACGGGUGAUAUAGCUGGAAAUUGCCAGUCGAGGGGAUAACAGUUGGAAACGAUGGUAAUACCGGAUACGCCCUACGGGGGAAAGCAGGGACCUUCGGGCCCUGCGCGAUUGGAUAUGCCCAGGUGGGGAUUAGCUAUGUGAGGUAAUGGCUCACCAAGGCGACGAUCCCUAGCUGGUCUGAGAGGAUGAUCAGCCACACUGGAACUGAGACACGGUCCAGACUCCUACGGGAGGCAGCAGUGGGGAAUAUUGCACAAUGGGGGAAACCCUGAUGCAGCCAUGCCGCGUGUGUGAAGAAGGCCUUCGGGUUGUAAAGCACUUUCAGCGAGGAGGAAAGGUCAGUACUAAUAUCUGCUGGCUGUGACGUUCUCGCAAAAAAGCACGGUUAACUCGUGCACAGCCGGAUACGGAGGUGCACGUAUCGAUUACUGGGGCGUAAAAGCGCACGCAGGCGGUUGGAUAAGUUAGAUGUGAAAGCCCCCGGGGCUCAACCUGGGAAUUUGCUUUUAAAACUGUCCAGGUUAAGUCUUUGGUAAAGGGGGGGUAAAAUUCCCAGGGUNUUACGGGGUGAAAUUGNGUUA